UACAGAGGGUGCAAGCGUUAAUCGGAAUUACUGGGCGUAAAGCGUGCGUAGACGGUAGCGUAAGUCGGGUGUGAAAUCCCCGGGCUCAACCUGGGAACUGCAUUUGUGACUGUAGAGCUGGAGUACGGCAGAGGGGGAUGGAAUUCCGCGUGUAGCAGUGAAAUGCGUAGAUAUGCGGAGGAACACCGAUGGCGAAGGCAAUCCCCUGGGCCUGUACUGACGCUCAUGCACGAAAGCGUGGGGAGCAAACAGG
RNAcentral lists this ribosomal RNA (253 nucleotides) under uncultured bacterium. RNAcentral's name for it is "partial 16S ribosomal RNA". It matches the Rfam family "Bacterial small subunit ribosomal RNA", at positions 524 to 776 of the family's 1533-position model. The record is from RNAcentral.